AUUGCCUAGCACGAUUCAAACAAAAAAAAGGUUUGGAGAGUUACUCUCCCUCCGAUAUUUGACCUGUGCUCGUAGAGUUUUCAUUUCUCAAGAAGAGUGUUGAAUUUUUUUCUUCCACCAUAGGCUUUUGACCUGUUCUCACCAAGUCAAGUUGCAGGGUGUUGAGGUUGAUCAGUUACCUGGAGACUUAACAAUGUCAUCAUCUGGAUUAACUUGUAGCCCCUUGAGAUAUAGCCUUCACUUUCCUGCAAGAGAUGUUGGGUUUAGCAAUGACCGAGUUACUUCAUUUCCUAAUAUUAUGAGAUCUAAGGAUUUUCUCUAUUUAUAUGGUUGGACUGGAUCGACUCAGCAACGUAUACGAAGAACUCCUUUGCUCAAAUGCGCAAUGGAUGCAUCCUAUGGUGAUUCUACAAAUGAGUCAGCUGGUACCACAACAUUUCCAAGAAUCAACGUAAGGGACCCAUAUAAGCGACUUGGAAUUAGUAGGGAAGCUUCUGAAGAUGAAAUUCAAGCUGCCAGGAAUUUUCUAAUACUAACAUAUGGAAGGCAUAAACCAAGUGUGGAAGCUAUUGAAUCAGCACAUGAUAAAAUAAUAAUGCAAAAGUUCUAUGAAAGGAAGAACCCUAAAAUCAACAUCAAGAAAAAGGUCAGGGAAGUAACACAGUCACGCGUUGUGCAGGCUGUUGUGAGCAGGUUCAGAACUCCAUCAUUGAAUGUCAUUCUAAAAACUACCAUUGCAUUUAUGGUGCUCGGAGUGCUCACAGUACUCUUUCCAACUGAAGAAGGGCCUACCCUUCAAGUUGCCAUUUCUUUAUUACUUACCAUGUAUUUCGUCUAUGAUCGGCUGAAGAGCAAACUCCGUGGUUUUCUUUAUGGAGAGGUGUGACAGUGCUAGGGUUGUGACUUCGAGCUAUCGUGCAAGCGGCUGCUGGAGUCGGCAGGAGGCCGGGUUCUUGCAGGCCAGUUGCCAGGGGAGUUACAAUGCCGGGGACAGUAAGGGCGGGGCGUGGGGAAGGGUCAUUUGGGGGUGGAUUGGUCAUGGGGCUAGGGUUAGCCCAUUUUCGGAGAGAGAGAGAUAAGGGAAGAAGGAGAGAGAAAAGUUCAUUCAUUUCUUGGUGCACGUGGGGGAGUUAUUUCUGAUCUUAGACAAUCAAUCCAUUCUGAGUAUGAAGUCCUUCAUAUAUAACAGGACUAAGUCUGCUUUGAUUAUCCAACCCAUGAGUUGCUAACUUAUUGUCCUUGGCUAUCUGAUCAGCACUAAGUAUCUUCGUAGAUAUGAGAGUAACUUGUAAAAUAUUGUCGAUGGGACAAUCUACAUUUGACUUUAAAAUGAAUGCAGGAGAGAGAAGAAUGUGUAUCUCCAUAAUCCUUUUGCAUACGAAAGGAGGUGCAGAGACUGGUAUAAUACCUGCUUAACAGUUAACACACUUGGAUCCUGAAGCUGCAUUAAAGGAAAAACCUCGGCCUUGCCUUUCAUCAGACUAUUAGCUUUCUUAGGUUGUCCCUCUCAGCAUUCAUUGGAGAAGUGUCCUCACCUGUCACAUUUAUGGUAGACUUUCAUUCCGAACAAUUUCUCUCCUUCAUGAUGUUUUUGGCACUUUGGGAAGAGUGGCCACUUAUUUGUAGCACUAGUACUGGCACUUGUUCUAGGCUUUUCAAUUUUGUUGGAGCUGUACCAUUCUUCUUGUUAGAUCCAUUCCACUUGUGUUAGGCAGAUAAUUGUCGCUGCUGUUUGGGGACUUCGUCAAUUUGAUGUUUGUUGAGGUGACUACUUGAGCUUUCUCCAAAACCUAGCGGGCUGGGACUUUUGUUAUCUCCUGGCUUCUAGGAACAUUUUUAAUGGUCUCUGUGAUGCCACCCAUACUCAAAGGGCCAAGAAGUUUGGAAGUGACAACUUCAUUGAUAAGCUACAUUUUCCUUUGGGUUGCUUCUACUUACCUGAGAUAGAGCCCAAACUUCCGUAAAUGUCUCAGUUUUGACGAGGCAGGUUUGAAGUGGUUGCUCUGAUCUGGUCAUAUGAAAACUACGUAUUGAAAAUUUGAAAAGAGAGGGUUUAUGGACCAAUUUUCAUUUCAACCCUGUCCCCAGAGGCACCUAUAUGUUAUUUGGACAAAUUGAGCCAAGUUUUAAAAGAUCCUGCAUCAAAGGUGUAUAUUUGCUUCGAUAACAGCUAAUGGUGAUGCCACUGGGUUUUGGUUGUUCUUUAAAGAGUGUUUUUCUUUUGUUGGGAAAUUUUACUCAAAAUUGAAUUGAAUCGACUUUGGUUGAGAAGUGUGAAUUAGAUAAGAUCGGGAAAUCACUGGGAGCAAAUUUCAGCCAUCAAUCUUUAAGAACUUUGAUAGAACAGCAAUGACAUAUUUAGUGAAAUGAAUUGGAAAAUACUAUAUUGUACUACUAUAACAUUAAGAAAUUGUUUAUGAUAAUUUGAUAAUGUCUCCAUCAAUUUGCAA
RNA transcript from Olea europaea var. sylvestris, 2450 nucleotides. It is a transcript of the gene named protein CHAPERONE-LIKE PROTEIN OF POR1, chloroplastic, with no coding region annotated. Lineage: Eukaryota; Viridiplantae; Streptophyta; Magnoliopsida; Lamiales; Oleaceae. The transcript is spliced from 7 exons. The record is from RefSeq and is a predicted model, not a curated record.